GUUGGUUCUUCCGCCAACUUAAACUGAAACAACUUCGCCCUAAAAUCACCGUGUCCGGUAAGAAAUUGUGUUACGAAGUGAUCCAGUUCAAGCGGCAUAAUUUUCCUUGUUCUGACGUCAGGGAACCAUUUGUAGGUCCACCUGCCUUUGUCCGUAUUGUCCCAUCUCGACUGCCAUAUAUCGUAUAUAGCGUUCAUCUGGGAC
Molecule: non-coding RNA, 204 nt
Organism: Cinara cedri
Lineage: Eukaryota; Metazoa; Arthropoda; Insecta; Hemiptera; Aphididae
Source: the annotation of a GenBank genome assembly